Molecule: non-coding RNA, 78 nt
Organism: Megalops atlanticus (tarpon)
Lineage: Eukaryota; Metazoa; Chordata; Actinopteri; Elopiformes; Megalopidae
Source: the annotation of a GenBank genome assembly
GGCAGUGUAGCACAGUGGUUAAGAGCCAGGCUUGUAACCAAAAGGUUGCUGGUUCGAUUCCCCACCGGGCCACAGCUG